This 460-nucleotide ribosomal RNA is filed under the name uncultured bacterium. Its description in RNAcentral is "partial 16S ribosomal RNA". It matches the Rfam family "Bacterial small subunit ribosomal RNA", at positions 338 to 795 of the family's 1533-position model. The record is from RNAcentral.
CCUACGGGGGGCAGCAGUGAGGAAUAUUGGUCAAUGGACGGAAGUCUGAACCAGCCAUGCCGCGUGCAGGACGACGGCUCUAUGAGCUGUAAACUGCUUUUGUACAAGGGUAAACCUGAAUACGUGUAUUCAGCUGAAAGUACUGUACGAAUAUGGACCGGCUAACUCCGUGCCAGCAGCCGCGGUAAUACGGAGGAUCCAAGCGUUAUCCGGAUUUAUUGGGUUUAAAGGGUGCGUAGGCGGUUUGAUAAGUUAGUAGUGAAAGGUCCGAGCUUAACUCGGGAAAGGCCUCUAAUACUAUUAUACUAGAGAAUAAGUGCGGUAGGCAGAAUGUAUGGUGUAGCGGUGAAAUGCUUAGAGAUCAUACAGAACACCGAUAGCGAAGGCAGCUAACCAAUCUAAAUCUGACGUUGAGGCGCGAAAGCGUGGGGAGCAAACAGGAUUAGAUACCCGAGUAGUC